GCCUGGCUGGCUCAGUUGGUAGAGCAUAUGACUCUUAAUCUCAGGGUUGGGUGGUGAGUUCAAGCCUCAUGUUGGGCA
RNAcentral lists this transfer RNA (78 nucleotides) under Ailuropoda melanoleuca (giant panda). It matches the Rfam family "tRNA". Rfam says of the family: Transfer RNA (tRNA) molecules are approximately 80 nucleotides in length. Lineage: Eukaryota; Metazoa; Chordata; Mammalia; Carnivora; Ursidae. The record is from Rfam by way of RNAcentral.